CCCAUACCCAGCCCACUUGGCCAGACACUUCACUUACAAAUAUGUUCUCCUGCUGUGUCCCCUCUUAACGGGGCUCUUGUUUCCGGAAAGCCUGGAGUGAGAGCCUUUUCGGAAGCUGCAGACAUUUGUUCAACCCUCGCUCGAUCCAGACACCUCUGGCCAUUUGCCAGGAGGUCCCCGAAGAGCUCCACCCAUGAGACGGGACAGGAGCUGAUCAGUGGGGUCCUCUACUGCAUCUUCCUGCAGGGUGGGCAGGUGCCCCACAUCAGCCACAGAGUCCGGUGCUGGCUCAUGGGUGAAAAUGUGUCCACAGUGAAAUGGAAGAGACCCGCAUGGUGUGGACCGUCCAGGGAGGCAGGCCAGAAAAGCAAGUGGAGCACCUGGUGUUCGCCUUCCUGGGCAGUGACCCCUCAUACGUGCCCACCCUCCUGGGCACCUGCAGAGCUUCUGCCAACACCCAACAGCACUCGACCUGCUGUUCAAAGGCGAGCACUAAGUCCGUCCACGAGACAGUGGUGUUUUGGUGACUUACUAGCUGUGAGACUUCAGAAUGUCACUGCCCCUCUCUGAGCCUCAGUUUGCUCCUGUGAACCUUGGAGUGAAUAGAGCACCAACCUCAUAGGGUUAUUUUCAAAACUAAGUGGGUCCACCAUGGAAAGUGCUGUCCGGGUGCCUGGCCCUGGGGCAAGAACUGCUGCAGGGCCAUGUUUGUGCUAAUUUAUCAUUUCCCUCAUGCCAUGACGAAGCCUCUGCCUCAUUCAUCACUGUUCUUGUAGCCUUGGGCUAAAGUGUUUUCCCAUUGGAAAAUGAGAUUUGAGAUUCCAUUAGUGGUUCCUUUUCAUGGGUAAAGUCUGAGGAGGGAUCCUUGGGGGUGAGCAGGGAGGCCACAGGCCCACUCAUAUAUCCAUGAUGGGGCUGGUUGGGGCUCAUUCAUUUAUCAAACAUAUAGGAAGCCCCACUAGUUGCAGGCACUUAUCUCUGUAUGACCAUAAUCCAGCGCACAGAGCAGACAAGUCCUGCCUCUCAGGGCUUCCAUUCUAGUCGGGAGUCAGAAUGUCACACUAGACAUCACAAGAAGGUAGUGUCCACACUACAGCCGAUGUAACGCCCUCCUGGCCUCCUCUAGAUGGAUGCAUCCUCCCUCAUUCUGAUGAGGAUGGCAGUCACUAGUAUCAAUUAAAAAUGUGAAUGGGCUUUGAUUCAAGAAGGAGCAACUCCCUUUUCCAAAGAACUGUGUGGAGAUGUGGGGUUCUGUGGAUGAGGAGGGGAUGGCAGAGCCCUGGAUCCAACAUCUUAUGAUUCUUGCUUGAGGGCAGAAGUCUGAGCGCUUCUCCUGGCAAAAAGGAAAGGAGUCAGAGAGAGCUACAGAUGGGGCUGUGGAUGCUGUGGGGAUUAGAGGGGAGGUCAGAGGACAGAGUCAGCCCUGGAAAUAGCCCUUACCCAUUCCAGCCCUGCCUCCACCCCCAUCCUGGGACCCAGAACAGGAGGUGUGGAGAGCAUCCUGCUCAUGAAUCUGGUGGAACCUCAACAGCGGGGGCUCGGCUGGUGCUCAGGGGACUCAGUGAGGGCUCUGGGG
Long non-coding RNA from Equus asinus (donkey), 1576 nucleotides. NCBI's taxonomy places the organism in Eukaryota, Metazoa, Chordata, Mammalia, Perissodactyla, Equidae. The record is from Ensembl.